RNAcentral lists this ribosomal RNA (254 nucleotides) under uncultured bacterium. RNAcentral's name for it is "partial 16S ribosomal RNA". It matches the Rfam family "Bacterial small subunit ribosomal RNA", at positions 524 to 776 of the family's 1533-position model. The record is from RNAcentral.
CACGUAGGGCGCAAGCGUUGUCCGGAAUUAUUGGGCGUAAAGAGCUCGUAGGCGGCUUGGCAAGUCGGGUGUGAAACCUCCAGGCUCAACCUGGAGACGCCACUCGAUACUGCCAUGGCUAGAGUCCGGUAGGGGACCACGGAAUUCCUGGUGUAGCGGUGAAAUGCGCAGAUAUCAGGAGGAACACCGGUGGCGAAGGCGGUGGUCUGGGCCGGCACUGACGCUGAGGAGCGAAAGCGUGGGUAGCAAACAGG